Molecule: ribosomal RNA, 253 nt
Filed under: uncultured bacterium
Lineage: Bacteria
Description: partial 16S ribosomal RNA
Rfam family: Bacterial small subunit ribosomal RNA
Source: RNAcentral
UACGGGGGGGGCAAGCGUUGUUCGGAAUUACUGGGCGUAAAGGGCUCGUAGGCGGCCAACUAAGUCGGAUGUGAAAUCCCCAGGCUUAACCUGGGAACUGCAUCCGAUACUGGAUGGCUUGAAUCCGGGAGAGGGAUGCAGAAUUCCAGGUGUAGCAGUGAAAUGCGUAGAGAUCGUGAGGAAGACCAACGGCGAAGGCAGCUCUCUGGACAAUUCCUGACGCUGAGGCACGAAGGCCAGGGGAGCAAACGGG